CUGACUGACUGUAAAAUUUGCAAAACAUUGUACCGUUGCUUGUUUAAAAAUAAACUUAGAAUUUUAAAAUUUCUUUGUUCAUCAUACUGAAUAGGACUGCAACUGAACAGUAUCUACCCACAUUAAAAUUUUGUUCCUUAAAAAUAGUAAAAUGCAUGUGAUGAUCAACUGAAAUUUUUAUGAAACAGUUUUCUGAUAACCAUACGUUCUAAGUAGAAAUAAUUGCCUAAUUGUAACAUUAGUAAGCUGAAUUCCGAGUUCAUUUGUAGUAGUGUGAUAAUGGCGUUUAUCGCUCAUUGAAACAGCACAAAGUGAGUGUGUCAGUGGCGGUGGAAGUGCCAUGGAGCGGCCACGUGGCAGCGGGCGCCUCGUCCAUCGCGACAGUGCAUGUCAGUUUUCUGGAAAAAUUUUCAAAACUAGCACAACGGCGGCGGCGCGGCGUCGGCGAGCAAUUUGCGAGGCACCGCGUGUCAGUGUGUGAAUCCUCGUCGCGACCGGAGCGCGCUAGUGUGCGUGCACGUGAAGGUCGAAUAUUUGUCCCUACUCGUCGGUCUAUUGGUUCAACACUCGCCGCUGUGAUAAUGAGCGGCCGUGGUCUCUUUCGCACAGCCGGCGCGGCGCACCCGAGGAAAGGGACGGCCGGCGUUGUGCGCGUGCGCCGGAGCCUCCGCCAGCGCCGGCGCGGCCUGCCCUCAUCAGUCUCCCCGCGGCGGGGAAGCGGUUCGCGUGUGCAACUCCGUGUCGGCUCAGCUACGGGCUCGAGCGCCUUGCGUCGCACACGAAUAUUUUUAGAUAACAGCACGAAUAAUUUAUUUGCAAGGUAGUGAUCGCGCGCACUUUUGCGGAUAUCGAUAUCAGCGCAUGCGGGCUCGCGUGUGCUGCGGCCGCGGCGCUGCGGCGCAGCUCGGCGCUCGGGCAGCCGCCGGCGGCGAAGUCCCGGUGUGGCGAAACAGCGCUUGCGCCAGCGGCGCGCCGCCUGAUGGACAAUGACUUGUUAUUUUGAUGGCGUCGAGCAAUUAGCAGAAGAGAAGAAGCGUUACUAGUUCGCUAACAGGGCUGAGUCAGCAUGAUGUCAUGUGGUACGCGAUGAUGCGGCUAAUGGGAGCGUCCCGGCGCGCGCGCACGUCACAUCCCAUUCCCGGCGCAUACCUCAACCAAUCGAGCGAUGACAAAUCCAUUCAUACUCCUCCUUUGUGGCUCGUUGUGUUAGAGGCUAGAUUCUUGCGAUUCCAGCCCAAUUAGCGCUGAUAAACACGACCAGUCCAAUUGUUACUUCCCAAAACACAGCUCCAUUUAUUUGUUUUGUUCUGAAGUAUUUGUAUCUAUUGUAAAAGCAGAGAAGAAAGAAGAAUGAAGACAAACUACUACGACGACGGAAUAUAUCAAGAAUGAAGAAAUUUCAACGCCUAAGAAGACAAAAGGAAUUACGAAACUGGUUUUCAUAAUGAUUUGACAGAUUGGUUACUAUUCUGAGAUCAUUGUGAAAGCUGAUUUUGUUCCUAAGUCAUCAGUAUACUUACAACGAAAGAAGAAGAAAAAUCGCUGAAGAAACAAGCUUUUAUUGUAACAUCAAGAAUUUCAAGAAACAUGGUUAAAGUUCACAUCUAAUGUUUUGCAAGUAUAAAAAAGUCAACUUCACCGAAUAAACUAAAUCGAUUAUACCUAAAACACACUAAUUUAUGGUUUAUAAGAAAGCUCAACUAGAGUAUGUAUGAAUCUCAUAAAGUUUGGUGAAGAUGAUUUUUUUAUACAUUAUGUAAACUAACAGAAAAAUAUUGGUAUUUACGUGUUACUAACAUUACAAAAUCCCAACCUAAAUGUUUUUUUGAAAUAUUAAUAAUGGUGAAAAUGAAUGUUUUAUAAUUGGAUCAUUGGAUCAUUUUAAAAAAAUGAAAAAAUUAAAUGUUUUAUUCAGCGACACAAAACAACAUCAAAGUAUUAAUCUCGCCACCAACCUUUGCUAAAUGUGUGUGGGAUCUAAUUAAUUAUAUUUUAUUCAUUCAAUCAUUCAUUGUUCAUGCCAUGAGUGUGAAACAUGACGUAAAAGUAUUAAUAUAAAUAUGUACAGUUUAGAAUGACAAAGCUAAUAUAUGAAUAACAGUGAUAAAUUUUCCCUUAUUAUUUAUUAGUCAACCCAUUCAUUAAUAUCAAAAUGAUGAUGCAUUGUAAAAUACUUGUAAAUGUAACUCAAAUAAGUAGGUACCUAUCAUCGUAAAUUACAUUUCGCUUUAUAAUGUUUCGUUGUUAAAGAAUAAAUAAAUUAUUUUUAUGGUAGCACCAGUAUGAAUAAAGGGACCAAAAUAAUGUUCAAGAUUUUUGUAACAACAAUGUAAUCUGUAAAUAUUUAACUAUGUAUGUAACCCUCAUCAACGUUAACAGAACAAGAUUAAAUCGACCUAAAA
Ostrinia furnacalis (Asian corn borer) is the source of this 2402-nucleotide RNA transcript. RefSeq lists it as uncharacterized. NCBI's taxonomy places the organism in Eukaryota, Metazoa, Arthropoda, Insecta, Lepidoptera, Crambidae. The transcript has 3 exons. The record is from RefSeq and is a predicted model, not a curated record.